AGCUUUAUAGUCAAUUAUAUGAUAUUAGAAUGCAAAUCUGAAGGAGUAGGUUAACCUUUAAAGCUA
This 66-nucleotide transfer RNA is filed under the name Timema californicum (California timema). RNAcentral describes it as "tRNA-Cys". It matches the Rfam family "tRNA". From Rfam's summary of the family: Transfer RNA (tRNA) molecules are approximately 80 nucleotides in length. Their secondary structure includes four short double-helical elements and three loops (D, anti-codon, and T loops). The record is from RNAcentral. Lineage: Eukaryota; Metazoa; Arthropoda; Insecta; Phasmatodea; Timematidae.